CGCAAACUUUGGAUCUUGUUGUUACUACAAGGUCUUUGCUAUUUAGCUUCAGUCGCACAGCGUAUGACGUAGGAGCAACUGAGGAGGUAUCCUCCACAUGUCGUGUGUAUCUUUGCAGAUCAUAAUUUCGAGUAAACAACCCUUAACAAGAUUCGAUCGGGGGGAGCCAACAUAAUCAGCCCCACAAAUUAUCUCCUAAACUGAGAACAUUGACAGGACUCUUCUUUGGGUCCUUGCUCUCCACAACAGCUGUUUGCUAUGGCAACUUCAUCCCCAAGGUUCACGUGGUGUGAUUGUCGCAAACACAAGAUUCCUGUCAAAGACACCCAUGAGCUGUGCCUGCAUUGUCUGGGCAUCCAGCAUGCCAAGGAGGCUGUGCUGGAGUAUGGCAAAUGCCCACACUGUGCCAAGAUGGACUGGAGCACCUGCAUCAACCGCCUCACUAAAGUUCAGGAGAUAAUGCACCGCGAGAGCCAGCAGAGGAAGCACGAGGCAGCACAGUCUGAAGUUAAGCCCAAGCCUGAGACCACUUCAGCUCCCAUCAAGGAACCAAAACCGGAAGAAAAUACAGUCCCCACCCUGCCCCCACAUCGGCUCUCUGCUUCCACACCAGCCCAUUCCUCCACCAUGCCAGUGUUGUUCACCAUCCUCUCCCCACCCCCAGCGCAGGCAGGGGACAAUUUGAGCAUCCCAAAAGGCACUUUCCUCUCACAACUUGCUAUUCAGCAGUCAGCUGACUCCACCCCAUCCUUGAGCCAAUCAGGUUCCAACAUGCUGACCUCCAGCUCCUGUAAACGACACGGUUUCUCAUCGUCCUGCUCCAAACGCUCCAAACGAAGCCGCAGUAGCCACAGGCGGAGACGCUCUCCCUCCUCCUCCUCUUCCUCUUCAGACUGGAGCUCUGAUGAAGAUGAUUCCUGCCCCUCUGGAAAGGGAAGGAGGUCUCAGAGGGAAUCGCGGCAAGCUGUCCGGUCAGAGAGGAGGCACGGGGAGCUGGUGGAGGUUGUUCAACAGGCCGUCCAGCUACAGUGGGCUGUUCUGGAGAAGCGCAUUGAGGCUCUGGAGAGGAGAGGUGCUGAGGCUGUUGUGUCGUUCCCCACUCCAGCCCAAACUAUACAUCUUCACGCCUCCAUCCCUCUGGCAUCCACCUCCUCUCAGGAGGGCAACCAGAGAGAUUUAUCCUGCCUUGUCAGCGAGCAGCUGGUGACGGAAUCUAUGUCCAGUACCAUUGUGAAGCAGGAAGAGGAGCCUUCCUCCAUUUCGUUUGCCUUGAGACCUCUCAGUGAUGGACACCGUGAAGGGGAGGAUGCCUCUCAGUCAACUGAGGGUCCUAUCUCUAAACAGGACUUACUGGAAGCUAUGGAGCUUCAGAGCCUCAUAGCACGUGCUGCCAAGUAUCUUGGUAUAGACUUUCCCAGCACACCAGCCAGCCCCAGCCCACCAGACCCCACAAUGGUGCCGGAGUUUGAGGACCUGGUCCAGAGCUUUUGGCCAAACCCUGCCAGCUCGAAACCGUACAGGGAGCUGUUCUCUAAGAUGUACAGGCUUCACGACUGCCAGUCUCCAGCGUAUGACCAGAUGCCCCAGGUCAACAGUUUCAUGUCGGCUAUCUUCCAGGCGGUGAAGCCCACAGAGAACAAGGAGGCGCCGGUGCCAGCUGAGCGAUGGCGUUUCACUGAGACUCUAGUAGAGAGGAUGUACCAGACUGCUGGCAUGCUUGCCAAGACGGCCAACUACCUACGCUACCUAUCAGACUACCAGAGGAGGCUUCUGCUGGAGAUCACUGAGGAUUGUCCAGCCCAGCGUUUUAUGGUGGCCCUUAACGAGCUGAAGCUCAUUGGCCAGUUCACCCUCCAGCUAUCCUCCCACCAGGCUGAACUGUCUGGAAGGGUCAUGGCUGCUUCUGUAGCCAUCCGAAGACAGGUCUGGAUGGCUAAGACCAACUACACAGACUCUCUGAAAGCCACUGUGGCUGACCUUCCAUUUGUGGUCAGUCACACCUUUGGGGUUAGCUCAGCCUCAGGCCCUAGCUCAACUGGAAUGGUGUGCAAACAGGAACCGUUGUAAAGGCUACAUUUGUUACAUGUAUAAAAAGUGUGAGUAGUAUGAACUUUUACCUGUGCUGAAUUGGGUUGAGACCACUAAAUGGUUUACUUGUAGACAUGUAAAUAGGGAAAUAUUCUUUAUAGUCUUAUUGCACUCCAGUUCAAUAUACCUUUUGAUAGAAUUUUUUUUAUCUAGGAAUUUUGCAACUGUUUUUGAACAAAGGUAGCAUAGUAUCUGUGUCUUGACUGCAUUACAGUUCUUUUGACUGCGUGUUUGGUAAACUUCUUCAGAGGUUAUGUUGAAAGUAAGUUUCUUGUUCAUUAUGAGACUUAUAGUUCCAUCAGAAAGUAUUCACACCGCUUGACUUUUUCCACAUUUUGUUUUACAGCCUGAAUUUUAAAAGGGAUUACUUUGACAUUUUGUAUCACUGGCCUACACAUAAUAUCCCAUAAUGUCAAAGUGGAAUUUUUUAUUUAUUUAUUUUUUACAAAUUCAUAAAUUAAAGCUGAAAUGUCUUGAGUCAAUAAGUACUCAAGCCCUUAGUUAUAGCAACCCUAAAUAACUUCAGGAGUAAUAUGUUGCAUAGAUUCACUCUGUGUGCAAUAAGUGUUUUAACAUUAGUUUUGAAUGACUACCUCAUCUCUGUACCCCACACAUACAAUUAUCUGUAAGGUCCCUUAGUCGAGCAGUAAAGUUCAAACACAGAUUCAACCACAAAGACCAGCGAGGUUUUUCAAUGUCUCGCAAAUAAGAGCACGUAUUGGUAGAUGGGUAAAAAUAAAUAAAUGUAAAUACUUUCUGAAGGCACUGUAUGAUAGAUAUCAUCCAUUAUUUUUCUGUCCACUACCUCACUCUUCUUCAGAAGUUCUGUGAUUGCAUAAAAAGUAUAAUAAAAGUGCACAAAUAUUCUCCUCUGAUUUUGUAUUUAUUGUGAAAAUAGUCAAUAUUUUGUUAAUAUUGAAUAGUAAAAUGUCACCUCAUCUUCCGCAUAGAGAUGAUCAAAUAAAUGUACCUCUGUAGCAUGGCAAUAGUCAAAUCAAAUUUGAUUGAUCA
RNAcentral lists this long non-coding RNA (3099 nucleotides) under Salmo salar (Atlantic salmon). RNAcentral's name for it is "lncRNA (ENSSSAG00000092171.1, ENSSSAG00000113803.1)". Lineage: Eukaryota; Metazoa; Chordata; Actinopteri; Salmoniformes; Salmonidae. The record is from RNAcentral.